UACGAAGGGUGCUAGCGUUGUUCGGAAUUACUGGGCGUAAAGCGCGUGUAGGUGGUCCUCCCAGCCAGGGGUGAAAUGCCGAAGCUUAACUUCGGAAUUGCCUUUGGUACUAGAGGGCUAGAGUCUGAUAGAGGAUGGUAGAAUUCCUAGUGUAGCGGUGAAAUGCGUAGAUAUUAGGAGGAAUACCGGUGGCGAAGGCGGCCAUCUGGAUCAGUACUGACGCUAAGACGCGAAAGCGUGGGGAGCAAACAGG
RNAcentral lists this ribosomal RNA (253 nucleotides) under uncultured bacterium. Its description in RNAcentral is "partial 16S ribosomal RNA". It matches the Rfam family "Bacterial small subunit ribosomal RNA", at positions 524 to 776 of the family's 1533-position model. The record is from RNAcentral.